AUGAACGCUAGCGAUAGGCCUAACACAUGCAAGUCGAGGGGCAGCACAUGACGUAGCAAUACAGAUGGUGGCGACCGGCGCACGGGGUGAGUAACACGUAUGCAACCUACCUUCCACAGGGCGAUAACCCGUUGAAAAACGGACUAAUAGUCCAUAAUACAGGGAUCCCGCAUGGGAAUAUUUGUUAAAGAUUUUUUCGGUAGAGGAUGGGCAUGCGCUCCAUUAGCUAGUUGGUUGAGGUAACGGCUCACCAAGGCAACGAUGGAUAGGGGAGCUGAGAGGUUUAUCCCCCACACUGGUACUGAGACACGGACCAGACUCCUACGGGAGGCAGCAGUGAGGAAUAUUGGUCAAUGGAGGCAACUCUGAACCAGCCACGUCGCGUGAAGGAUGACGGCCCUAUGGGUUGUAAACUUCUUUUAUACAGGAAUAAAGUGAGUCACGUGUGAUUUUUUGCAUGUACUGUAUGAAUAAGGAUCGGCUAACUCCGUG
Molecule: ribosomal RNA, 492 nt
Filed under: uncultured bacterium
Lineage: Bacteria
Description: bacterial SSU rRNA
Rfam family: Bacterial small subunit ribosomal RNA
Source: RNAcentral